AAACCCUUGUUAAGGAACUCGGCAAAAUGACCCCGUAACUUCGGGAGAAGGGGUGCCUCCAGGAAUGGAGGCCGCAGAGAAGAGGCCCAAGCGACUGUUUAACAAAAACACAGGUAUCUGCGAAAGCGAGAGCUGACGUAUAGGUGCUGACACCUGCCCGGUGCUGGAAGGUUAAGGGGACAUGUCAUCGCAAGAGAAGCAUCGAACCGAAGCCCCAGUAAACGGCGGCCGUAACUAUAACGGUCCUAAGGUAGCGAAAUUCCUUGUCGGGUAAGUUCCGACCCGCACGAAUGGUGUAACGAUUUGGGCGCUGUCUCAACAAGGGGCCCGGUGAAAUUGAAGUAAGGGUGAAGAUGCCCAUUACCCGCGACUGGACGGAAAGACCCCGUAGAGCUUUACUGUAACCUGAUAUUGGAUUUCGGCAACUGAUGCACAGGAUAGGUGGGAGGCUUGGAAGUGAGUGUCUCGGCAUUCAUGGAGCCGCUGUUGGUAUACCACUCUUCUGUUGCUGGAAUUCUACAUAGGCCCGUGAACCGGGUGAUGGACAGUGUCAGGCGGACAGUUUGACUGGGGCGGUCGCCUCCCAAAGAGUAACGGAGGCGCCCAAAGGUACCCUCAGAAUGGAUGGAAACCAUUCGCAGAGUGCAAAGGCAGAAGGGUGCCUGACUGCGAGACUGACAAGUCGAGCAGAGACGAAAGUCGGGCUUAGUGAUCUGGCGGUAUCGAGCGGAAGAGCCGUCACUUAGCGGAUAAAAGCUACCUCGGGGAUAACAGGCUGAUACCCCCCAAGAGUUCACAUCGACGGGGGUGUUUGGCACCUCGAUGUCGGCUCGUCGCAUCCUGGGGCUGAAGCAGGUCCCAAGGGUUUGGCUGUUCGCCAAUUAAAGCGGCACGCGAGCUGGGUUCAGAACGUCGUGAGACAGUUCGGUCCCUAUCCAUCGUGGGCGUUGGAAUCAUGAGAGGAUCUGUUCCUAGUACGAGAGGACCGGAAUGGACGUACCACUGGUGCAACUGUUGCGCCGCCAGGCGCAUGGCAGGGAAGCGAAGUACGGGAAGGAUAAACGCUGAAGGCAUCUAAGCGUGAAGCCAGCCUCAAGAAGAAGGUUCCCAUUCACAAGAUGAAGUAAGGCCCCCGGGAGACGACCGGGAGAUAGGCCGGCGGUGGAAGCGCAGCAAUGCGUUGAGCUUGCCGGUACUAAUAGGCCGAGGGCUUGACC
RNAcentral lists this ribosomal RNA (1217 nucleotides) under metagenome. RNAcentral's name for it is "bacterial LSU rRNA". It matches the Rfam family "Bacterial large subunit ribosomal RNA", at positions 1696 to 2925 of the family's 2925-position model. The record is from RNAcentral.